This 969-nucleotide long non-coding RNA is filed under the name Brassica napus (rape). RNAcentral describes it as "long non-coding RNA (BNAP_LNC024910)". Lineage: Eukaryota; Viridiplantae; Streptophyta; Magnoliopsida; Brassicales; Brassicaceae. The record is from RNAcentral.
UCUCCCGGAGAGGCUGAUCGGCGUCGAAGGUUACACGCGGACCACCGGGAGGGACAGGGAGAACGGCGGGGGAGUCGAAGACGGUGUUUCGGGAGAAAUCAGGAAGGUGUUUGAUCUUGCAAGCGCCGCUAGUUGCGUCAGCGAAGGUGUUGAAGAAUUGCCAGAAGGAAGUUCCAUCUGUAACGGAAUGAUUAACGGUGCAUCCGAUGAAGACGCCGUCGUCUAGCUCCGUCACUUGGACGGCGGAGAGAGGCUUAUGGUGGCCGUUGUAGCUGACGAGGCGCUCGAAAACGAAAAACUCGCGGACGAGAAGAGGAACGUCUUUACCGGGAGAGAGAACGUCGGAGACGGUGAUGUGUUUGGCGGAAGCAGCGACGAAUUCAACUCCGGAGUCGUUGCAGGUGAUGUAGAUGUGACCGGAGGGACUGGUGGAGAAACGGCCGGCUAAGGCAGGGAAAAGAGAGAGGGUGGAGGAGAGUGAACGGCGGAGAGAGGAGACAAGGUCGUCGAAGGAGAAGGAAGGAGGAGGGCGACUGAGGAGCACGCCCUUCUGAAUGUAAUGGCAUGAGAGCAUAGGGAGAUCGGAGACGGAGAGACGGAGAUCGGCCACGGUGGACCUCUUCUCCGGAUACACAAUGCAUUUCGAGAUUUCUGUUACUGAACAAGAAGGCAUUUUGUAAAGAAACAAACAAAAUAUGUAAAAGAAGAUAUUGAUUUGGGAGCUGUGGUGAUUGCCGUAUUGGUGAGGAGAAGAGUCAUGGGAGCAAGGGGGUUUAUAUAGUGGUCUUGUCGGAGCAAAGUUGCGUCAGCGAAGGUGUUGAAGAAUUGCCAGAAGGAAGUUCCAUCUGUAACGGAAUGAUUAACGGUGCAUCCGAUGAAGACGCCGUCGUCUAGCUCCGUCACUUGGACGGCGGAGAGAGGCUUAUGGUGGCCGUUGUAGCUGACGAGGCGCUCGAAAACGAAAAACUC